AGGUGUGGAUUCUUAGCACAUCCCAGGAGGCCCUUUGCAUGAUUGUCUCAAUCUCACAGUCAGUACCCGGGGGAGUCUCACCUUCAGAUAAGAAGCUGGGGAGAAAUUUGAUGUCACACCCAGUGGUGCUCAAAACUUACUCCUGGCUCUGAGCUCAGGGAUCAUUCAUGGUAUGGAUUGGGAGACCCUGUGGAGUGCCAAAGAUCAAACCAAGCUACACUCAGGAAGAAUUCAGAAGAAAUCACAGAUGGUGUUUUCCUGUGUGGAAUGGGAUGGGAUCUCAGACUGGCCUUCUGCCCUGUACCCUCUGCUUUCCUGGAGUUUGGCUUAGAGCUGCUUUCUUUCCUAUCCACCAGCAUUUCUGGUGACUGUGAUUUUUGCCUGUCACCCACCCUGGAGAUCUGCUUCCACCAGCUCCUCUAAGACUGCAGAUGACAAAGCACCGUUAAAGGCAACGCCUGACCUUCACUUGUGAAUCCCAACCUGGGAGGUGCAAUUCUGUCCUUGACUUUAUGGGGUUUCUCCAACUUUCCUAGG
Molecule: long non-coding RNA, 537 nt
Organism: Sorex araneus (European shrew)
Lineage: Eukaryota; Metazoa; Chordata; Mammalia; Eulipotyphla; Soricidae
Exons: 3
Source: RefSeq, a predicted model, not a curated record